AUUGAACGCUGGCGGUAGGCCUAACACAUGCAAGUCGAGCGGAUGAAGGGAGCUUGCUCCUGGAUUCAGCGGCGGACGGGUGAGUAAUGCCUAGGAAUCUGCCUGGUAGUGGGGGAUAACGUCCGGAGACGGGCGCUAAUACCGCAUACGUCCUGAGGGAGAAAGUGGGGGGUCUUCGGACCUCACGCUAUCAGAUGAGCCUAGGUCGGAUUAGCUAGUUGGUGGGGUAAAGGCCUACCAAGGCGACGAUCCGUAACUGGUCUGAGAGGAUGAUCAGUCACACUGGAACUGAGACACGGUCCAGACUCCUACGGGAGGCAGCAGUGGGGAAUAUUGGACAAUGGGCGAAAGCCUGAUCCAGCCAUGCCGCGUGUGUGAAGAAGGUCUUCGGAUUGUAAAGCACUUUAAGUUGGGAGGAAGGGCAGUAAGUUAAGACCUUGCUGUUUUGACGUUACCAACAGAAUAAGCACCGGCUAACUUCGUG
Molecule: ribosomal RNA, 484 nt
Filed under: uncultured bacterium
Lineage: Bacteria
Description: partial 16S ribosomal RNA
Rfam family: Bacterial small subunit ribosomal RNA
Source: RNAcentral